This 447-nucleotide ribosomal RNA is filed under the name uncultured bacterium. Its description in RNAcentral is "bacterial SSU rRNA". It matches the Rfam family "Bacterial small subunit ribosomal RNA", at positions 335 to 796 of the family's 1533-position model. The record is from RNAcentral.
ACUCCUACGGGAGGCAGCAGUAGGGAAUCUUGCGCAAUGGGGGCAACCCUGACGCAGCGACGCCGCGUGAGUGAUGAAGGCCUUCGGGUCGUAAAGCUCUGUCCUCAGGGAAGAAGACAAUGACGGUACCUGAGGAGGAAGCCCCGGCUAACUACGUGCCAGCAGCCGCGGUAAUACGUAGGGGGCGAGCGUUGUCCGGAAUUAUUGGGCGUAAAGGGUGCGUAGGCGGCCUUGCAAGUCCGAUGUGAAAGACCACGGCUUACCCGUGGGGUUGCAUUGGAAACUGUAGGGCUUGAGUGCUGGAGAGGAUAGUGGAAUACCCAGUGUAGCGGUGAAAUGCGUAGAUAUUGGGUGGAACACCAGUGGCGAAGGCGACUAUCUGGACAGCAACUGACGCUGAGGCACGAAAGCUAGGGGAGCAAACAGGAUUAGAAACCCCAGUAGUCC